CCUACGGGAGGCAGCAGUGAGGAAUAUUGGUCAAUGGACGAGAGUCUGAACCAGCCAAGUAGCGUGAAGGAUGACUACCCUAUGGGUUGUAAACUUCUUUUAUAAAGGAAUAAAACGAGGCACGUGUGCCUUUUUGCAUGUACUUUAUGAAUAAGGAUCGGCUAACUCCGUGCCAGCAGCCGCGGUAAUACGGAGGAUCCGAGCGUUAUCCGGAUUUAUUGGGUUUAAAGGGAGCGUAGAUGGGUUGUUACGUCAGUUGUGAAAGUUUGCGGCUCAACCGUAAAAUUGCAAUUGAUACUGGCAGUCGUGAGUACAGUUGAGGUAGGCGGAAUUCGUGGUGUAGCGGUGAAAUGCUUAGAUAUCACGAAGAACCCCGAUUGCGAAGGCAGCUUACUAAACUGUGACUGACAUUGAUGCUCGAAAGUGUGGGUAUCAAACAGGAUUAGAUACCCGAGUAGUC
This 460-nucleotide ribosomal RNA is filed under the name uncultured bacterium. Its description in RNAcentral is "partial 16S ribosomal RNA". It matches the Rfam family "Bacterial small subunit ribosomal RNA", at positions 338 to 795 of the family's 1533-position model. The record is from RNAcentral.